GACGUAGGGGGCGAGCGUUGUCCGGAUUCAUUGGGCGUAAAGCGCGCGUAGGCGGCUCGGUAAGUCGGUUGUGAAAGCCCGGGGCUCAACCCCGGGACUGCGUCCGAAACUGCCGGGCUAGAGGCAGGUAGGGGAGAUCGGAAUUCCUGGUGUAGCGGUGAAAUGCGCAGAUAUCAGGAGGAACACCGGUGGCGAAGGCGGAUCUCUGGGCCUGUCCUGACGCUGAGGCGCGAAAGCUAGGGGAGCGAACAGG
This 253-nucleotide unclassified non-coding RNA is filed under the name uncultured Actinomycetes bacterium. RNAcentral describes it as "uncultured actinobacterium contains 16S-23S intergenic spacer region". It matches the Rfam family "Bacterial small subunit ribosomal RNA", at positions 524 to 776 of the family's 1533-position model. The record is from RNAcentral. Lineage: Bacteria; Bacillati; Actinomycetota; Actinomycetes.